This is a long non-coding RNA of Oncorhynchus kisutch (coho salmon), 697 nucleotides long. RefSeq lists it as uncharacterized. The transcript has 2 exons. The record is from RefSeq and is a predicted model, not a curated record. Lineage: Eukaryota; Metazoa; Chordata; Actinopteri; Salmoniformes; Salmonidae.
AAGCCAGUGGUUCAGAUGGAACUAUCCAAUCAGUAGAUAAAGAAUGGGAUGAAGCCAGUGGUUCAGAUGGAACUAUCCAACCAGAAGGUAAAGAAUGGGAUGAACCCAGUGGUUCAGAUGGAACUAUCCAACCAGAAGGUAAAGAAUGGGAUGAACCCAGUGGUUCAGAUGGAACUAUCCAAUCAGUAGAUAAAGAAUGGGAUGAACUAUCCAACCAGAAGAUAAAGAAUGGGAUGAACUAUCCAACCAGAAGAUAAAGAAUGGGAUGAACUAUCCAAUCAGAAGAUACAUCUCCUAUAAAUGUUCAUAUCUGGUUGCGUUGACAACCAAACACAAAGCAUUAUAACUUUUUGUAAUCCAGCAAACAGACUAAAGACUGUUUUACAAACUAAUGUAACAUUCAACCUUUAAAUGAAUAACAUCCAUGGUCACAUUUUGAGGUUACAGUAACUACCUGGAUAGGUUUCUUCUUGUGUAAUCUUAUAGAGCGUUCCAGGUGGCAGGUCAGAGGUCAUCACAGGUCUGUGGAGAUCUUCACAAUGGGCUCUAAUUAUCCGUCAGGAAUCUACAACAGCAUUGAUCACUUGCACCGUGUACUUGUUAAUGUAAUACUCAACUACAAUCCAGGUCAUUAGGUUAUUAGAUGAAGCACAGUGACACCACCUUUAUAUGUUGUAUAAAUAAAUGAAAUACCUGA